This 83-nucleotide transfer RNA is filed under the name Candidatus Iainarchaeum sp. Its description in RNAcentral is "tRNA-Ser". It matches the Rfam family "tRNA". Rfam says of the family: Transfer RNA (tRNA) molecules are approximately 80 nucleotides in length. Their secondary structure includes four short double-helical elements and three loops (D, anti-codon, and T loops). Further hydrogen bonds mediate the characteristic L-shaped molecular structure. tRNAs have two regions of fundamental functional importance: the anti-codon, which is responsible for specific mRNA codon recognition, and the 3' end, to which the tRNAs corresponding amino acid is attached (by aminoacyl-tRNA synthetases). tRNAs cope with the degeneracy of the genetic code in two manners: having more than one tRNA (with a specific anti-codon) for a particular amino acid; and 'wobble' base-pairing, i.e. permitting non-standard base-pairing at the 3rd anti-codon position. Lineage: Archaea; Nanobdellati; Candidatus Iainarchaeota; Candidatus Iainarchaeia; Candidatus Iainarchaeales; Candidatus Iainarchaeaceae. The record is from RNAcentral.
GCGGGGAUGGCAGAGUGGUCUAAUGCAACAGUCUCGAAAACUGUGUCCGCAAGGACUCGUCGGUUCAAAUCCGGCUCCCCGCG